UUCUGUAUAAUGUUAGUCAUUCUACUGACUAUUUUCCACAGUAUUGUUAGUGUUUUCAAUGCUAAAUACCUGAUGGUGUUACUGGUUUCUUCACCAGACAGAGCACAGACUAACCCAUCAAACAAGCCUUUUGGACAGCAGAACACCCAGAGGAAUGGUGACGAAGAACCCUGGACUGGGUAUUAUGGCAGAUCUGGUAAAACAAGAGGAGCAAAUGGAAGAAACCCAAGGUACUGACUGACCAGAGACUGUCAACAAAUGACAAUGAAGACAUUUUUAAUAACCCUAUUUAUAGGCCUAUCUAAAAUAAAGUUUUUUUCCCCCUCCAAAUUAACUCCUUGAGUUUUGAAGUGGUGGAGGAAUUUGAAAUUAAAAGUAGAACAUGUUCAUGAAAUGGGGCUUAUUGAUCAGUAAGGGAAUUUGGACUCGCCAUGACUGCUGAACUCUAUAAAGACUUCACAAAAGCAAGAUUUAUUCACUAUCGAUUGCAAAAGGCACAGCAUAUUCAUUGUCAAGGAGUCCCAAGUGAAAGAUGAAUUUAGAUACUCCCAUAAAGGUUAUCUAAAAAGUAGCCUACCCAACACUCUUCCUGGUAGGGCUGUGAAGUUGCCUACCCACCAUGUGGUUGGUAAGCGUGGCUAACUUCAGACGGGACAAUGUUUUGACUGCACACAGGAGAUCAAGGGUCUGUUUAACUUGAGCAAAACAAGUAGGCUACUACAAGAAUCCUCACUGCUGGAAAAUGAGACGGCAUUCGACCCCAGUACUUUUCAAUCUGUUUACCAGAUAUCUUAAGUUCACUUCAUACAAACAAAUGUUUUGAAACGGAAAAGGAAGCUGACGUUUCUUAUUGGACAAGUUGACCUAUUAUCUCCCACAAUUUCAUCCUGUUUGCCUCUGUGUAGUGAAUACAACCCUGUCUCCCCCCAUGCUCGCUACGACAGUCAGUGGUCUGUCUCCUAGCUACAGCCUACAGUCAUCAACCACGCCUCUCAACAACUUAUUCUUUGGUUGCACCAGCACCUCGUUGAACCUGUUAUUUGACUCUCCACUUAGUUUCUUUCUUUGAUAAUGC
RNAcentral lists this long non-coding RNA (1075 nucleotides) under Oncorhynchus kisutch (coho salmon). RNAcentral describes it as "lncRNA (ENSOKIG00005026814.1)". The record is from RNAcentral. Lineage: Eukaryota; Metazoa; Chordata; Actinopteri; Salmoniformes; Salmonidae.